GGGUUGUGAGGUUAAGCGACUAAGCGUACACGGUGGAUGCCCUGGCAGUCAGAGGCGAUGAAGGACGUGCUAAUCUGCGAAAAGCGUCGGUAAGGUGAUAUGAACCGUUAUAACCGGCGAUGUCCGAAUGGGGAAACCCAGUGCAAUUCGUUGCACUAUCGUUAACUGAAUACAUAGGUUAACGAGGCGAACCGGGGGAACUGAAACAUCUAAGUACCCCGAGGAAAAGAAAUCAACCGAGAUUCCCCCAGUAGCGGCGAGCGAACGGGGAGCAGCCCAGAGUCUGAAUCAGCUUGUGUGUUAGUGGAACGGUCUGGAAAGUCCGACGGUACAGGGUGAUAGUCCCGUACACCAAAAUGCACAGGUUGUGAACUCGAAGAGUAGGGCGGGACACGUGGUAUCCUGUCUGAAUAUGGGGGGACCAUCCUCCAAGGCUAAAUACUCCUGACUGACCGAUAGUGAACCAGUACCGUGAGGGAAAGGCGAAAAGAACCCCGGCGAGGGGAGUGAAAAAGAACCUGAAACCGUGUACGUACAAGCAGUGGGAGCACCUUCGGGUGUGACUGCGUACCUUUUGUAUAAUGGGUCAGCGACUUAUAUUCUGUAGCAAGGUUAACCGUAUAGGGGAGCCGCAGGGAAACCGAGUCUUAACUGGGCGUUAAGUUGCAGGGUAUAGACCCGAAACCCGGUGAUCUAGCCAUGGGCAGGUUGAAGGUUGGGUAACACUAACUGGAGGACCGAACCGACUAAUGUUGAAAAAUUAGCGGAUGACUUGUGGCUGGGGGUGAAAGGCCAAUCAAACCGGGAGAUAGCUGGUUCUCCCCGAAAGCUAUUUAGGUAGCGCCUCGUGAACUCAUCUUCGGGGGUAGAGCACUGUUUCGGCUAGGGGGUCAUCCCGACUUACCAACCCGAUGCAAACUACGAAUACCGAAGAAUGUUAUCACGGGAGACACACGGCGGGUGCUAACGUCCGUCGUGAAGAGGGAAACAACCCAGACCGCCAGCUAAGGUCCCAAAGUCAUGGUUAAGUGGGAAACGAUGUGGGAAGGCACAGACAGCCAGGAUGUUGGCUUAGAAGCAGCCAUCAUUUAAAGAAAGCGUAAUAGCUCACUGGUCGAGUCGGCCUGCGCGGAAGAUGUAACGGGGCUAAACCAUGCACCGAAGCUGCGGCAGCGACACUAUGUGUUGUUGGGUAGGGGAGCGUUCUGUAAGCCUGCGAAGGUGUGCUGUGAGGCAUGCUGGAGGUAUCAGAAGUGCGAAUGCUGACAUAAGUAACGAUAAAGCGGGUGAAAAGCCCGCUCGCCGGAAGACCAAGGGUUCCUGUCCAACGUUAAUCGGGGCAGGGUGAGUCGACCCCUAAGGCGAGGCCGAAAGGCGUAGUCGAUGGGAAACAGGUUAAUAUUCCUGUACUUGGUGUUACUGCGAAGGGGGGACGGAGAAGGCUAUGUUAGCCGGGCGACGGUUGUCCCGGUUUAAGCAUGUAGGCUGGUUAUCCAGGCAAAUCCGGAUAAUCAAGGCUGAGGUGUGAUGACGAGGCACUACGGUGCUGAAGUAACAAAUGCCCUGCUUCCAGGAAAAGCCUCUAAGCAUCAGGUAACAUCAAAUCGUACCCCAAACCGACACAGGUGGUCAGGUAGAGAAUACCAAGGCGCUUGAGAGAACUCGGGUGAAGGAACUAGGCAAAAUGGUGCCGUAACUUCGGGAGAAGGCACGCUGGUGUGUAGGUGAAGUCCCUGCGGAUGGAGCUGAGACCAGUCGAAGAUACCAGCUGGCUGCAACUGUUUAUUAAAAACACAGCACUGUGCAAACACGAAAGUGGACGUAUACGGUGUGACGCCUGCCCGGUGCCGGAAGGUUAAUUGAUGGGGUUAUCCGUAAGGAGAAGCUCUUGAUCGAAGCCCCGGUAAACGGCGGCCGUAACUAUAACGGUCCUAAGGUAGCGAAAUUCCUUGUCGGGUAAGUUCCGACCUGCACGAAUGGCGUAAUGAUGGCCAGGCUGUCUCCACCCGAGACUCAGUGAAAUUGAACUCGCUGUGAAGAUGCAGUGUACCCGCGGCAAGACGGAAAGACCCCGUGAACCUUUACUAUAGCUUGACACUGAACAUUGAGCCUUGAUGUGUAGGAUAGGUGGGAGGCUUUGAAGCGUGGACGCCAGUCUGCGUGGAGCCAACCUUGAAAUACCACCCUUUAAUGUUUGAUGUUCUAACGUUGGCCCCUGACCGGGGUUGCGGACAGUGUCUGGUGGGUAGUUUGACUGGGGCGGUCUCCUCCCAAAGCGUAACGGAGGAGCACGAAGGUUAGCUAAUCCUGGUCGGACAUCAGGAGGUUAGUGCAAUGGCAUAAGCUAGCUUGACUGCGAGCGUGACGGCGCGAGCAGGUGCGAAAGCAGGUCAUAGUGAUCCGGUGGUUCUGAAUGGAAGGGCCAUCGCUCAACGGAUAAAAGGUACUCCGGGGAUAACAGGCUGAUACCGCCCAAGAGUUCAUAUCGACGGCGGUGUUUGGCACCUCGAUGUCGGCUCAUCACAUCCUGGGGCUGAAGUAGGUCCCAAGGGUAUGGCUGUUCGCCAUUUAAAGUGGUACGCGAGCUGGGUUUAGAACGUCGUGAGACAGUUCGGUCCCUAUCUGCCGUGGGCGCUGGAGAAUUGAGGGGGGCUGCUCCUAGUACGAGAGGACCGGAGUGGACGCAUCACUGGUGUUCGGGUUGUCAUGCCAAUGGCACUGCCCGGUAGCUAAAUGCGGAAGAGAUAAGUGCUGAAAGCAUCUAAGCACGAAACUUGCCCCGAGAUGAGUUCUCCCUGAGAC
RNAcentral lists this ribosomal RNA (2802 nucleotides) under Klebsiella pneumoniae. RNAcentral's name for it is "bacterial LSU rRNA". It matches the Rfam family "Bacterial large subunit ribosomal RNA". Lineage: Bacteria; Pseudomonadati; Pseudomonadota; Gammaproteobacteria; Enterobacterales; Enterobacteriaceae. The record is from RNAcentral.